RNAcentral lists this ribosomal RNA (598 nucleotides) under uncultured bacterium. RNAcentral describes it as "bacterial SSU rRNA". It matches the Rfam family "Bacterial small subunit ribosomal RNA", at positions 62 to 705 of the family's 1533-position model. The record is from RNAcentral.
UCGAACGGGCUCUUCGGAGCUAGUGGCGGACGGGUGAGUAACGCGUGAGAAUCUGCCUUCAGGUCUGGGACAACAGAAGGAAACUUCUGCUAAUCCCGGAUGAGCCCUUGGGUAAAAGAUAAAUUGCCUGGAGAUGAGCUCGCGUCUGAUUAGCUAGUUGGUGUGAUAAAAGCAUACCAAGGCGACGAUCAGUAGCUGGUCUGAGAGGAUGAGCAGCCACACUGGGACUGAGACACGGCCCAGACUCCUACGGGAGGCAGCAGUGGGGAAUUUUCCGCAAUGGGCGAAAGCCUGACGGAGCAAGACCGCGUGGGGGAGGAAAGCUCUAGGGUUGUAAACCCCUUUUCUUUGGGAAGAAGUACUGACGGUACCAAAGGAAUCAGCCUCGGCUAACUCCGUGCCAGCAGCCGCGGUAAUACGGAGGAGGCAAGCGUUAUCCGGAAUGAUUGGGCGUAAAGCGUCCGCAGGUGGCCAUGUAAGUCUGCUGUCAAAACCCAGGGCUUAACUCUGGUCAGGCAGUGGAAACUACAAAGCUAGAGUUCGGUAGGGGCAAAGGGAAUUCCCGGUGUAACGGUGAAAUGCGUAGAUAUCGGGAAGA